UCUUUAGAAACUUUGUCUGGACCAAGAUGAUGGGAAAAAGAGAAUGAAAUGCCAAUAACUCAAAUGUUAUAUUUCCAGAUCUUCUGGACUACAUGCAUAUGCUCCCAAGCUAUUAGCAUCAGAGCAUGUUGAUGAUGAUCACAUUUAGAGUUCGUUUCCCUCCAAAUUUCACUUGAACUUUCAUUUCCAAUACCAUCGACGUAUUCUUUCAUAGGAACAGUUUUGGAGGGUAGCCUUGACUUCAUUAUACACUCACAAAUAAAUGGGUGGGGUUGUUUAGGUCAUGUAUUCUACCGUUAUUUAUUGGGAUACAAAAUAAUUUAUUCCUCAAAUUUAAGAUGGUAUCAAAGAAGUAGAACCCUAGCAAUCUCUAGAAAAACCUUGAAAAUUUCAUUCACUGUUUUGCUAGAAACCUAGCCCGCUCUCUAAAUCUUUGCACCCUACCUCCAGCAUCAAUGUCUCUUAUGCGUCUGUUUCGACAUAAGAUUUUUCAACAUUCACACUCUGUUUUACCAUUCAUUUUCGUUCGGCCUAUUCUUUAAUAGGUCGCCCAUUGCUGAUCUGUCUCCUCCUAGACGAGUUUGCAACAUCCAUCUGCCACUCGUGGGUUUGUCCCAUCACCACUUAUCUAGUACAGUCCUUUAGCUCCUUUUUUUGAAAAGGAGACAAACUUCUUUAUUAUUAGAGAUCUAUACAAUGAGAAUAAUACGGAAGCCAAGAAAAGAGGGAGAGAAAGAGAGAAAGGAUCAGUAGGUGCACCCGGACAUCUCAACUAAGUUGACACCCCCAUAGCACCCUCAUCAUAUCCAUAAUACAAAGAAAAGACCAAAAUACAAGAACAAUACUAAGGUCAUGAAAAGACCAAAAUAACUACAAAAGCUACCUAUGGUAGACUAAAGCAAGGCUGAAAGGAAAAAAAAAACGGUAGAAA
This is a long non-coding RNA of Cucumis sativus (cucumber), 931 nucleotides long. RefSeq lists it as uncharacterized. The transcript has 2 exons. The record is from RefSeq and is a predicted model, not a curated record. Lineage: Eukaryota; Viridiplantae; Streptophyta; Magnoliopsida; Cucurbitales; Cucurbitaceae.